UUUUUCAAUUGAUGAACCAUAAUUCUCAAAAUCUUUAUUGGUCUACAACUAUCAAAUUAUUUUAAAAUCUUUGCUAAACUGUCUAAAAUAUUAGCAACUUAGUUGAAGAAUUUGAUUGUGGGUCUUCAACGACAACGUGAUCGGGAAAGACAAAGGACUAUGAGCCAAUUGCAAAUUAUCAAUCUUCCCUUCUAGCAGC
This 199-nucleotide long non-coding RNA is filed under the name Ricinus communis (castor bean). RNAcentral's name for it is "long non-coding RNA (RCOM_LNC002954)". Lineage: Eukaryota; Viridiplantae; Streptophyta; Magnoliopsida; Malpighiales; Euphorbiaceae. The record is from RNAcentral.